AGAUGUGGGGGUUCCAGGCCCUUUUGGGAAGUGCAGUGCUGCAAAGGAUUUAGUACAUCACUGAAGUCAAACAUGGCUACGAAUCAGAUUCACUGCAUGUGACAGAAGAUGAGUAAGCUAAGCUCUGUUUCGGUGCUCUUGGAUGAGGUGACAUCACUUAUAUACUAUCUGAACCAUCUGAAACGUCUCUAAUAAUGAUAAAAGCAUUUUAGGCUGGAAAAGAUCCUGAAGAUCAUUGGGUCCAGUCAUCCACCUAACUACCAAGUCCAGCACUUAACAGAAGGAGGAACCAGCAGACUGAAGUACCGUGACACACCAAAUGAACAAUCUGUAAGUGAAACUGCUCCCUGC
Molecule: long non-coding RNA, 351 nt
Filed under: Gallus gallus (chicken)
Lineage: Eukaryota; Metazoa; Chordata; Aves; Galliformes; Phasianidae
Source: RNAcentral